AGAGCCACCACAUCAAUUAGAUAUCUAGAUUAGCAUAGCUACAUAGGAUUAGAACUAGAAGGAGUCAAUCUUCGAGAAAAUAUAUACGAGGAAAUAAAAAGGAGCAAGUGCUCGGAACCUCGAAAGAAAAGAAAAAGUGAGACGAGAGGUAAAAAUGGACAAGUGUCCGACAGUAGAAUUAGGGGUACAAGAUACCCACCUGAGAGAAAAGAAAAGAAAAAGAAGAGCAUCUCAUUCUCCUCACAAAGUUUCAAAAAGCAAGAAAGGUAUGUAUCCCCUCAAAGAGCAAAAGUAGAAUUAGACUUCCACCAUUGUUAUCACCAUCAUCACCAUACACCAUUCAUUCGCCACACAUGCACAUCUUGAUAUGGCUUAUUGAUUUGUUUCUUUGGAUCCAUGGUUUGACUAUGCAAUACAUGUCUUGUAAGUAUGUAUACUUUAUCUCCCACCUAUGAGCUCCAGAUAUUAAAGCCUUAUUAGAGUAGGGUGAGAGAGAAGACAAUGUCAUUAUGCUUCAUACCAUAAAUACCACAUAUCUUCAGAGAAGGCAUAUACCAUCACUGCCUUGGUAAGGAUCCAGAAAUACCACAAAAGAGAGAUCUGAGAGAGUCAUACAAGGAAUCUCUGAGUUUUAUUUGAAAAUCUGCAAAAACCCCAGAGCUAUAGCUGAUCAAGAAUAAGAGAC
This 685-nucleotide long non-coding RNA is filed under the name Sorghum bicolor (sorghum). RNAcentral describes it as "long non-coding RNA (SBIC_LNC001482)". The record is from RNAcentral. Lineage: Eukaryota; Viridiplantae; Streptophyta; Magnoliopsida; Poales; Poaceae.